CCUGGCGGCUGUAGCGCGGUGGUCCCACCUGACCCCAUGCCGAACUCAGAAGUGAAACGCCGUAGCGCCGAUGGUAGUGUGGGGUUUCCCCAUGCGAGAGUAGGGAACUGCCAGGC
RNAcentral lists this ribosomal RNA (116 nucleotides) under Citrobacter amalonaticus. The record is from RNAcentral. Lineage: Bacteria; Pseudomonadati; Pseudomonadota; Gammaproteobacteria; Enterobacterales; Enterobacteriaceae. RNAcentral also lists the same sequence under 5 other names.